GGAAACUGCCCACUACGAAGCUGAAAGCCAGGGCUAGGGCUCCGACGUGCCGGUAAUGACUUGUAGUUUGGAGAUCUGGUUUGCUGUAUGCCACUUUGACUGUACGCCCGCGCUAAAGCUCGGUAUCAAUAUGGACACCCGGGGGGAGCCCGGGGGGCUCAGGUUGGUUAACUAGGGCUGGACCGGGCCAGAGAGGAAACUCAACAGCCAGAAAAGUCCCGUGGAGUUGUGAUGGGAUCGCGCAUAAAGAAUGGGAGCUGCUUUGGGGCAGACCUGAAGUCACCGGCGAUCCAAGCUACCGGCACGUUU
This 309-nucleotide signal recognition particle RNA is filed under the name Zootermopsis nevadensis. RNAcentral describes it as "metazoan signal recognition particle RNA". It matches the Rfam family "Metazoan signal recognition particle RNA". From Rfam's summary of the family: The signal recognition particle (SRP) is a universally conserved ribonucleoprotein. It is involved in the co-translational targeting of proteins to membranes. The record is from Rfam by way of RNAcentral. Lineage: Eukaryota; Metazoa; Arthropoda; Insecta; Blattodea; Termopsidae.